CAUAAGAAAAAAAGUACUAGAUCAAACAAAUCUUUAUGCAGAUUUAGAAAGUAAAAUAAAUACAUUUGUAUAUACUAUUGAAAAAAAAAAUAAAGAGGAAAAUCGCAUUAUUAAGAAAUUGAAUCAACAAUUAAGAGAUGUUAUAAAUAAAUUUAAAAUUUUGGAACAAGAAUUAAGUGAAACUAUUGAUUUAACUGAAAAAUUAGGAUAAGCCAGCAGAAAAAACUUAAGGCAGCCUGUCUUUUCUGUAUUUAAAAUUAUUUUAUAAUUCUAAAAUUUGUAUAAUUCAUUUUUAACAUUUUAAUAAAAGUAUGUUUUUAUAAAAU
Molecule: long non-coding RNA, 326 nt
Organism: Daktulosphaira vitifoliae (grape phylloxera)
Lineage: Eukaryota; Metazoa; Arthropoda; Insecta; Hemiptera; Phylloxeridae
Exons: 2
Source: RefSeq, a predicted model, not a curated record